CAUUCAAACAUUAUUGUUUUAGUAUGAUGUCAGUUGGCCGGAUUUGAAGUGGAAUGUGUGAAACACAUUUGACUGUUAAUAAUGAAUUUACUCAACACCAUGUGACCAUCAAACCACAACUGACAACUUGGCAUGGAAAAAUGUGUCUAUCAACCUCACUUCAAGGCAGCCGAUAUGGGACCACAAGAACUCUAUGAUCUAUCAGCUCUGCUCAACACUCCAAAGGAUAAACAACUGACUGUGUUGUGAAGUCUGACACUAUUUUGGGGGACAUGUUAUUGCAAGUUAUAUGGAGCUCCUUCAGCCUCCAACUCCU
Engraulis encrasicolus (European anchovy) is the source of this 316-nucleotide long non-coding RNA. RefSeq lists it as uncharacterized. The record is from RefSeq and is a predicted model, not a curated record. The transcript is spliced from 3 exons. Lineage: Eukaryota; Metazoa; Chordata; Actinopteri; Clupeiformes; Engraulidae.